UACCGACUAACCUUCUAUUUUAAUUUGUGUACUCACACAACGUCUUAUCCAAUGUCAUGUCUUUGAUAAGCUGAAAUUGCAUCAUGUCAUGUCAAAUUACCUCUCCCAAUACUUCCAUGGUCAACCUCUCACAUCUUCGCACUGGGGUAUUUGUGCAUCUCCUCUUCACAUGUUUGCACCAUCUUAGUCUUGCUUCUGCAUCUUGUCCUCCACCAAAACCACUCUCACCUUAUCCCAAAUAUCCUCAUUUUCAAUGUUAUCUCUCCUAUUAUUCCCACAAUCCAUCGCAACAUACAUAUUCCACAAUUUUCAUAUUCCCCAUCCCCCAUCCCUAGGGCGCCG
RNAcentral lists this long non-coding RNA (342 nucleotides) under Solanum tuberosum (potato). Its description in RNAcentral is "long non-coding RNA (STUB_LNC002759)". The record is from RNAcentral. Lineage: Eukaryota; Viridiplantae; Streptophyta; Magnoliopsida; Solanales; Solanaceae.